GCCAAAGUCUAACCUUAUAUUUCUACUUAAUCAGAAAUAUUAGUUUAUUUUAUUUUAACAAAUAACCAGGAAGUAGCAAUGGGGUCGAAGCAUUUGACUGUCGUUUACAUCAAUUUUUAAAAGUGAAAAUAUCUGACUGUGCCAGGAUUCCCAUUUUUGUGACAAAACUUUAGGAAAAAAGAGAAGAAAAUUAAAUGGCUAUCUAAAGG
This is a non-coding RNA of Cinara cedri, 209 nucleotides long. NCBI's taxonomy places the organism in Eukaryota, Metazoa, Arthropoda, Insecta, Hemiptera, Aphididae. The record is from the annotation of a GenBank genome assembly.